RNAcentral lists this transfer RNA (89 nucleotides) under uncultured Collinsella sp. Its description in RNAcentral is "tRNA-Ala(ggc)". Lineage: Bacteria; Bacillati; Actinomycetota; Coriobacteriia; Coriobacteriales; Coriobacteriaceae. The record is from RNAcentral.
GCUUGCGGCGGUACGGCUCCUGCAGGCGGUCGUCGUUGGCGGCGGCGAUAAGCUCGGUGUCGCCGGUUUCGAGCCCCCGCGUGAGCCCC